UAACGCGUGAGCAACCUGCCUAUGACAGUGGGAUAGCCUCGGGAAACCGGGAUUAAUACCGCAUAAAAUCGUAGAAACACAUGUUUCAACGGUCAAAGAUUUAUCGGUCAUAGAUGGGCUCGCGUCUGAUUAGCUAGUUGGUGAGAUAACAGCCCACCAAGGCGACGAUCAGUAGCCGGUCUGAUAGGAUGAACGGCCACAUUGGAACUGAGACACGGUCCAG
Molecule: ribosomal RNA, 223 nt
Filed under: uncultured Eubacteriales bacterium
Lineage: Bacteria; Bacillati; Bacillota; Clostridia; Eubacteriales
Description: uncultured Clostridiales bacterium partial 16S ribosomal RNA
Rfam family: Bacterial small subunit ribosomal RNA
Source: RNAcentral